CUGUUUCCUUUUUGUUGUUAGGAGUCGGAUAUAAGUCCAUGUAUUAGCAUUCUGUUUUCUUUUUGUUGUUAGGAGUCGGAUAUAAGUCCAUGUAUUGGAAUUCUGUCUCCUUUUUGUUGUUAGGAAUCGGAUAUAAGUCCAUGUAUUGGCAUUCUGUUUCCUUUUUGUUGUUAGGAGUCGGGUGUAAGUCCAUGUAUUGGCAUUCUGUUUCCUUUUAUUGAGGAUCUCUUU
Molecule: long non-coding RNA, 231 nt
Filed under: Lathyrus oleraceus (garden pea)
Lineage: Eukaryota; Viridiplantae; Streptophyta; Magnoliopsida; Fabales; Fabaceae
Description: Pisum sativum (pea) long non-coding RNA (PSAT_LNC011787)
Source: RNAcentral